Molecule: ribosomal RNA, 496 nt
Filed under: uncultured bacterium
Lineage: Bacteria
Description: partial 16S ribosomal RNA
Rfam family: Bacterial small subunit ribosomal RNA
Source: RNAcentral
GAUGAACGCUGGCGGCGUGCCUAAUACAUGCAAGUCGAGCGAACAGACGAGGAGCUUGCUCCUCUGACGUUAGCGGCGGACGGGUGAGUAACACGUGGAUAACCUACCUAUAAGACUGGGAUAACUUCGGGAAACCGGAGCUAAUACCGGAUAAUAUAUUGAACCGCAUGGUUCAAUAGUGAAAGACGGUUUUGCUGUCACUUAUAGAUGGAUCCGCGCCGCAUUAGCUAGUUGGUAAGGUAACGGCUUACCAAGGCAACGAUGCGUAGCCGACCUGAGAGGGGAGCAGGCCCAACUGGACACGGACACGGGGCCGAACCCCACCGGGGGGGCGCCGUGGGAAAUUUUCCCGAAGGGGGAAAGCCCGGACGGGGCAAACCCCGGGGGGGAAUAAAGGUUUUGGGUUCGAAAAACCUUUUUAUUGGGAAAAAACAAAGUUAGAAGUAACCUUGCCCGUCUGAACGGUCCCUAAUCAGAAAGCCCCGGCUAACUACGG